CGCGGGGUGGAGCAGUUGGCAGCUCGUCGGGCUCAUAACCCGAAGGUCGCAGGUUCGAGUCCUGUCCCCGCAACCA
RNAcentral lists this transfer RNA (76 nucleotides) under Tumebacillus algifaecis. RNAcentral describes it as "tRNA-Met". It matches the Rfam family "tRNA". From Rfam's summary of the family: Transfer RNA (tRNA) molecules are approximately 80 nucleotides in length. The record is from RNAcentral. RNAcentral also lists the same sequence under 3 other names. Lineage: Bacteria; Bacillati; Bacillota; Bacilli; Caryophanales; Alicyclobacillaceae.